This 1039-nucleotide ribosomal RNA is filed under the name activated sludge metagenome. RNAcentral's name for it is "bacterial LSU rRNA". It matches the Rfam family "Bacterial large subunit ribosomal RNA", at positions 1890 to 2925 of the family's 2925-position model. The record is from RNAcentral.
UCAGCCGCAAGGCAAAGCCCCGAAUCGAAGCCCCGGUAAACGGCGGCCGUAACUAUAACGGUCCUAAGGUAGCGAAAUUCCUUGUCGGGUAAGUUCCGACCUGCACGAAUGGCAUAACGACUUCCCCACUGUCUCGGAGAGGCCCUCAGCGAAGUAGCACUAGGGGUGAAGAUACCCUUUACCCGCGGCAGGACGGAAAGACCCCGUGAACCUUUACUGUAACUUGGCACUGAUUUUCGGGUUAGCUUGCGUAGGAUAGGUGGGAGGCUAUGAAGCCGGGAUUCCGGUCUCGGCAGAGCCAACCUUGAAAUACCACCCUGGCUAACCUAAAAAUCUAACUCGCUUCCGUAAUCCGGAAGGAGGACAAUGCCUGGUGGGCAGUUUGACUGGGGCGGUCGCCUCCCAAAAAGUAACGGAGGCGCGCGAAGGUUCCCUCAGCCUGAUUGGAAACCAGGCGCAGAGUGUAAUGGCAUAAGGGAGCUUGACUGCGAGACAAACAAGUCGAGCAGGUGCGAAAGCAGGUCAUAGUGAUCCGGUGGUCCUGUAUGGAAAGGCCAUCGCUCAACGGAUAAAAGGUACUCCGGGGAUAACAGGCUUAUCACGCCCAAGAGUUCACAUCGACGGCGUGGUUUGGCACCUCGAUGUCGGCUCAUCGCAUCCUGGGGCUGAAGUAGGUCCCAAGGGUUCGGCUGUUCGCCGAUUAAAGCGGUACGCGAGCUGGGUUCAAAACGUCGUGAGACAGUUUGGUCCCUAUCCGCCGUGGGCGCAGGAGACUUGAGAGGAGCUAACCUUAGUACGAGAGGACCGGGUUGGACUGACCUCUAGUGUUCCGGUUGUGGCACCAGCCGCAUCGCCGGGUAGCUACGUCGGGAAUGGAUAACCGCUGAAAGCAUCUAAGCGGGAAGCCAGCCUCAAGAUUAGGUCUCCCAGGUCGUAAGACCCUAAAGGCCCCUCGUAGACCACGAGGUAAUAGGCUGGGUGUGGAAGCGUAGUAAUACGUGAAGCUGACCAGUACUAAUCGGCCGUGCGGCUUGACCAU